RNAcentral lists this unclassified non-coding RNA (171 nucleotides) under soil metagenome. RNAcentral's name for it is "partial contains 5.8S ribosomal RNA, internal transcribed spacer 2, and large subunit ribosomal RNA". The record is from RNAcentral.
AACGCACGAGACCUGCGGACCUGCGGAGGGAUCAUUAUUGGUUGGCCGAGAGGCCUUGUCAAAUGCCCCAACACCUCUGUGAACCGUUUGGCCCCUGGGCCGUUUUAUGCGCAAACACUGUGUAAUGAACGUCUUGUUACCUUAAAGCAAAACUUUCAACAACGGAUCUCU